CCUACGGGAGGCAGCAGUGAGGAAUAUUGGACAAUGGGCGGAAGCCUGAUCCAGCCAUGCCGCGUGCAGGAAGACGGCCCUAUGGGUUGUAAACUGCUUUUAUACAGGAAGAAUAACCACCUUGCGAGGUGGGACGCCGGUACUGUAUGAAUAAGCAUCGGCUAACUCCGUGCCAGCAGCCGCGGUAAU
RNAcentral lists this ribosomal RNA (189 nucleotides) under uncultured bacterium. Its description in RNAcentral is "partial 16S ribosomal RNA". It matches the Rfam family "Bacterial small subunit ribosomal RNA", at positions 338 to 524 of the family's 1533-position model. The record is from RNAcentral.